UUUCAUGACGAUAAAGAGCAGUACGCUCGAUAACCCAGCUCGUUGAGGAGGGAGUAACGCCCCAUUUAUUCCUUUGAGAUCACACUUUUUCUGAUUCA
Molecule: small nucleolar RNA, 98 nt
Filed under: Plicaturopsis crispa FD-325 SS-3
Lineage: Eukaryota; Fungi; Basidiomycota; Agaricomycetes; Amylocorticiales; Amylocorticiaceae
Description: A. fumigatus snoRNA Afu_304
Rfam family: A. fumigatus snoRNA Afu_304
Source: Rfam by way of RNAcentral